ACCCCCUGGCAACGGGCAAAGAGAAACCUUGCUGGUAGUGGUGUUCUUCUAUCAGUCAGGGGCAGAGCAGAUGGCAGUCCUUCGUGCAUCCUAGCUUGAUGCCUGGCUUGGUGGCAAAGCUGUUUUAUGCUUAGGACUCAUAA
This is a small nucleolar RNA of Mus caroli (Ryukyu mouse), 143 nucleotides long. RefSeq annotates it as small nucleolar RNA SNORA48. Lineage: Eukaryota; Metazoa; Chordata; Mammalia; Rodentia; Muridae. The record is from RefSeq and is a predicted model, not a curated record.